Molecule: long non-coding RNA, 466 nt
Organism: Zea mays
Lineage: Eukaryota; Viridiplantae; Streptophyta; Magnoliopsida; Poales; Poaceae
Exons: 3
Source: RefSeq, a predicted model, not a curated record
AUUCAGAUUCUUACAACCUUUUGCAGGUAUCAGAUCUUGGGUAUUUUUCUGUUGAUUCAGUUGUGUAUUCUUGGAGCUGAAAGACUCGGAAGAAGUAAUAUAUCGGCAAUAGCUAGUUCCAUUAAUCAAAUAUCAUCUGGAAGCUAUCCAUCGACUACAGUAAUGUUAAACCAGGUCGGAGCAUCCAUCUUCUAAAUGAAGGUGGAAAUAUAGUCAGUAUCAUCCGCAGUGGUAAAGCUGCAGAUAUAGCUUCUCAUUCAGAGACCUCCAAUGGCAAGAGCAAAUGCACCUUGUGUCUCAGCAUCCGGCAAAAUCCUACUGCCACAACCUGUGGACAUGUUUUCUGCUGGUAAAAGUUGUUUUUUACAAUGAUCAUGUAUUGAGUCUUGACAGAUAUAAAUUUUACACUUGAGCCAUCAACAGUAGUGAUGAACCUGCCAUCCUGGCUUACUUCUGCACUAGUGAC